GACGAACGCUGGCGGCGUGCUUAACACAUGCAAGUCGAACGGAAAGGCCCUGCUGUUGUGGGGUGCUCGAGUGGCGAACGGGUGAGUAACACGUGAGUAACCUGCCCUUGACUUUGGGAUAACUUCAGGAAACUGGGGCUAAUACCGGAUAGGAGCUCCUGCUGCAUGGUGGGGGUUGGAAAGUUUCGGCGGUUGGGGAUGGACUCGCGACUUAUCAGCUUGUUGGUGGGGUAGUGGCUUACCAAGGCUUUGACGGGUAGCCGGCCUGAGAGGGUGACCGGCCACAUUGGGACUGAGAUGCGGCCCAGACUCCUACGGGAGGCAGCAGUGGGGAAUAUUGCACAAUGGGCGGAAGCCUGAUGCAGCAACGCCGCGUGCGGGAUGACGGCCUUCGGGUUGUAAACCGCUUUCGCCUGUGACGAAGCGUGAGUGACGGUAAUGGGUAAAGAAGCACCGGCUAACUACGUG
Molecule: ribosomal RNA, 468 nt
Filed under: uncultured bacterium
Lineage: Bacteria
Description: partial 16S ribosomal RNA
Rfam family: Bacterial small subunit ribosomal RNA
Source: RNAcentral